This is a long non-coding RNA of Pieris brassicae (large cabbage white), 343 nucleotides long. RefSeq lists it as uncharacterized. The record is from RefSeq and is a predicted model, not a curated record. NCBI's taxonomy places the organism in Eukaryota, Metazoa, Arthropoda, Insecta, Lepidoptera, Pieridae. The transcript is spliced from 3 exons.
UUAAGAAAAUCCGAGUUGGUAUAUUAAAACGAAGUGAUGCCGUGGAUUCGUCUAAAGAAUACAAUGUGGUGGCGACCAAGCAUCCAGAAUACCAUCCUCCGGUGAAAUAUCAUGAUAUAGCAUUACUACAGACUGACAGAGAUAUAGAACUUAACAAGUACGUCGUGCCAGCGUGUCUUCAUGAUGGCGGCGCGGACAUAUUCAAGAACAGCGCCAUCGUUACCGGUUGGGGAACGACGGUUUAUAAAAGUCGGGAUUUCUCGGAUGUACUCCAAAAGGCAAGAGUCGAGAGAUUUGAAAGUGUCGAAUGUGAAAAGAAGUAUAAUCAUAUCCGCCUGAUGCC